GCUUGACUCAGGAUGCAUAUUCUAAAAUUAGACCAAUAAAAGAGAGGGUUAGUGUGGCUCCUGCACAAGGAUUACACACAAAUUGUGAAGCAUUCCAUUUUUAG
This is a small nuclear RNA of Rattus norvegicus (Norway rat), 104 nucleotides long. NCBI's taxonomy places the organism in Eukaryota, Metazoa, Chordata, Mammalia, Rodentia, Muridae. The record is from Ensembl.